UACAGAGGGUGCAAGCGUUAAUCGGAAUUACUGGGCGUAAAGGGUGUGUAGGUGGUUAUAUAAGUUAGAUGUGAAAUCCCCGGGCUCAACCUGGGAACUGCGUUUAAGACUGUAUAACUAGAGUACUGUAGAGGAUAGUGGAAUUUCCAGUGUAGCGGUGAAAUGCGUAGAUAUUGGAAGGAACACCAGUGGCGAAGGCGACUAUCUGGACAGAUACUGACACUGAGACACGAAAGCGUGGGGAGCAAACAGGAUUAGAUACCCUGGUAGUCCAUGCUGUAAACUAUGAGAACUUGCUGUUGGAUGCAUAAAGGCAUUUAGUAGCGAAGCAAACGCGUUAAGUUCUCCGCCUGGGGAGUACGGUCGCAAGACUAAA
Molecule: ribosomal RNA, 376 nt
Filed under: uncultured bacterium
Lineage: Bacteria
Description: bacterial SSU rRNA
Rfam family: Bacterial small subunit ribosomal RNA
Source: RNAcentral